This is an RNA transcript of Cercocebus atys (sooty mangabey), 3936 nucleotides long. RefSeq lists it as uncharacterized. The transcript has a single exon. Lineage: Eukaryota; Metazoa; Chordata; Mammalia; Primates; Cercopithecidae. The record is from RefSeq and is a predicted model, not a curated record.
UCUCAACCUCUGUGUUGGGAGAUCCACUGGCCUUUCUUAUCUAAUUUUUUCAGCCAUAAAAUGGCAUGUAACAUCUCUCUUGCAUGGUUUUAAGACUUUUAUUUAGAUAACUUAUGGGCAGUGAUCAACACAAUUAGCCAAUUGGUUAUGAUUAGACUUUGAUGUUACCCAUUGCCUUAAUUUUAAUAUUUUAAUGUUCCCAAGCAAAAGAAGAGUCAAUCCUGAGAGCAGAUCAGAAUAUAUUAGUGAAUAGAGAAAUAAAAACAAGAUCAAGGAGGGAUAGAUGAUGGGGGGUGGGAGAGAAUGACCCUACUAUGAGAGCAGAGCUCCAGGAAUGCUCAAUGACAAAGAAAGUACACAGCAAGGGAGACAUGGAGGAGAGGAAGGGAUGAAAAGAACUGAUGAGUGCCUGAGGAGCUGGCCAGAGACAUCAAGGUCGACCUAACUCUUGUUAUCCCCAAUGGAGAGAGCCUCAAGGUACUCUGACCCAUUAACAAAUGCCCCAAUAAACCUUCACACAGGAGGAAAAGAACAACAACUACCUUUCUCUAGGAACAGACUUCUUUUGUCAAUUUAGGUGUCAGUAUUAGAAAAAAGAAAUACAUUAAAAAGACGGUUGGUGUCGGUUCGGCUGCUGGGGUCAGAUUCCGCGGUCCCAGCCCCUCCCCAUGGCAGACGCUGAGGAGUUGCAGGUUUCUUUGCCGCCCCCGCCGCCUCUCUUUUCUCCCUCCUCUUCAGACGCCUCUGCAGCAUCUUCCCCGGGCGGCCCAGUGAGUUUGGGCUGGCCAGUUCCGAGCAGGAGCAGCGGCCGAACGGUGGACCCGCUGGAGGAAGUGGAGCUGCAGAUGGGAGAUGCAGCCUUUUCAUUAACCAAACUUCUUGAAGCCACAUCUGCAGUAUCAGCUCAAGUGGAAGAGCUUGCCUUCAAAUGUACAGAAAAUGCACGUUUCCUUAAAACGUGGCGAGACCUCUUGAAAGAAGUCUAUGAUUCUUUGAAACCUGAUGACUAAUUUGGCAUACUUCGUUAUUUAACAACGACUGCAAUCAUUCAUACGUCUUAUGUCAUAUUUGUACAUGUACCACACGUAUAGAAUGACCUCUGUCAAGCAGUUCUGUAUAUACUCAGAAUGAAAUUUUUCUUGGUUUUCUUGGCUUCUGUGAAAGCAGCAUACCGAUGCUGUUUUUGUUGCGGACUAGUACUAGUUUGUCCUUAAAUACUUUAUGCCUCUGAACUUUCACAGAAUCCUUUAUGAAAGUCAACUUCAUCAAUACAUGGUUAAUAUUAAUAGAGCCACAGUGCUACCAUUAGCAAACUAGGUAGACCAUUAUUUGUUUUGCAACAAGACGCUAAGCAUGGCAGAGUUUGAAGUUGCGUUUCAUCUUAAGUACCAUGGGAGGUAACUUUAAGGUUUCCAGUGGUGGAUCCAGCUCCAUUUGGCUAAGUUGUCUGCAGCUAAUGAUUGUGUCUUUAUUCUAUAUCCCCAGCACCUAAAACAGGUUCACACAACACUCACUAAAUGUUUGUUGAAUAAACGAGUUAACAAACAAAAUUAAAAGCUUUUUCUCUUCCUAUAUUUAGCAUGAAGACUGUCAUUGUUUCUUUAGAAAAUGUAUGAAUCUGAACUUUAUUGACUUGAAGAAAAACAUUCUUUUUUUAACAGAGAUUUGGACUUUGAUGAUAGGUUUUAAAAUAUAUGAUAAAUAUCUUUUGUACUUUUUUUUAAGACUUUACUUCAGAAAAGGAGACUGUCUAGAAAGAAUGCAUAUUUUUUCCUUAUUUAUUUCUGUGGUUACUGCUUCUGGAGUUUAACCGUGUUUGUAUCUGAUAUUUGUGUAUGUUUGAUGGCUAUUUUUAAGGUGCCUUGUCAGAUUUAUGGCUCUGUGCUAUUACUUUUUGAGCUUUGCAAGUUGCGUACAUAAUAAUUCUAAAGAAGUUAUUUUGUUUGCAAUGCAUCAAAUUUAAAUGAUGUGAUUUUUUUUGUAUUAUUUGACCUUAGUGACAGUGUUCUAUUUUGCAUCCUGUAUAUUAUGUUGCUUUUGGUAUUUUGUGCUGUGUGUCAACGAUUAAGCCAGCUAAUUCUCCACCAUAUGUAACUUCUGGACAUCUUUGAUACGACGUCUUAAUUCUUUGUAGAUAUGAAGAUAUGUACAGAACUAUAUUCUAACACCCAGCAAUGGGACUAUGAGAGGGGACAGAUGGAUGGGCAAAGAAUAGUUUUGUUUAACAUAUUAGUCAUAGUUCUUGAUUAGAUUUUUUAGUUAAAGAUCACACAUAGGGUGUGAUUUCUAUACCAAAGAUAUGCUUAUUUCAGUAUUAGAAAAAUAUUCUUACAUGUCCUGAAAAUUGCAAUUUUUUAAAUGUGUAAAACUAAAUUCUUAUUAAAAGCACAUUUUAUUUCCAUUUCUUUGGAUUCAUUACCUUAAAACUUUUUACUGACAUAUUUCAAAGAUACAGGAGAGGUAAAUGAGUUCAAGAAAAUUCAUGUAUUUCUACCAUGCAGAUGUAAUAAAUGUUAGGAUUUGGCUAUAUUUUCUUCAGACACACAUAUAUAUGUAAUUGCAAAUAUUAGAUACAUUUGAAGUUCGUUUUGUUACCUCUUUGUUCCUGUCCCUUUCCUCCCUCCCCAGAGUCCCCAGAGGUAACCACUAGAGGUGGCAUAUAUUCUAGCGUGUGUUUUUAUAUUUUAAUAUAAAUACAUUUUUUAAAACGCUAUAAAAUAUUGUUUUAUGUAUGUGGUAGCCAGCCUCCAGAUGGUCACCAGUGAUCCCUGGCCUCCUGGUGUUCAUUCCCCCCGUAGAGCCUUCUCCUGCAUUUUACAGUGCUGACUUUUGUAACUACCAGGAUAUUGAGCAAGUGCAGUGUGUGAUUUCUGAGGCCAUAUUUUUUACUCCUUUUUUUUUUUUUUUAAGAGACAAGAUCUCACUCUAUUGCUCAGGCUGAAGUGUGGUGGCAGGAUCACACCUCAUUGUAACCUUAAACCUGGACUCAAACGAUCCUCCCAUCUCGCCUCCUAAAGCACUGGGAUUACAGGCAUUUUUGCUCAUUUUUCCAUUUUGUUUUUUUACUUGUCAGUUGUUAGAUAUCACAUAUUUUGAAUACUAAUAAUCUGUUAUGUAUGUUUCAGUUAUCUUGUUUAGUCUGGUUUGUCUUCAUAUUUUGGUUAUGAAAUCUUGAAUUUUUAAAUUUUAAUGUAAUCUUACCAAUCUUUCAUAAUGAUUUGCUUUUUCUGGUUUUUGUAUAGGAAAUGUCAUAAAAAUAGUCUUGUUCAGCCUUCCAAAAGUUACGAAAUUUUUGUUUUUAACAUUUAGAUGCUUAGUCCAACUGAAAUUUGUUUUCGUUUAUGGCAUGAUUUUGGAAUCUUGUUUUAAUUAUUUUUGCACAUUUAUAGCUCUUCCUCCUAGUAUCAAUGUUUCAAGUGCAACAUCUGUCAUGCAGUUACUAUAUAAGGGCCAGAUUCUGACCUUUCUGUUCUUUUGAUCUGAAGGAAAUUUGAACAUGCCACCCCCAAAUACACCAAUUUGGCAUACUGAUUAUUUCAAGCUAAAGGUACUUGAGAAACAGUAGUUGCAGAAAUGGCUAUCUUAACUGUCCUUUCCUACCUGUAGCAAGCCAUACAGACUUCUUUGAGAAAGAUGCUUUCCUGAUACCAAGAUGAGAAGAGACUCUAAUCAACUGAGACAGUAUCAGAGAAAUCUACAAACAAAGCUUACUGUUAGUUUCUUGCCAUAUGUUUACCUUCCCACAGUUUCUGCCUCUGGAAGCCUAAAACUGCUUUCCUUUGUCUUGUCACACUUCUCUGAAAUGUAUUCUUUGUGGAAGAUGCUAUAUAAUAUAAUCCAGAGUUGUAAGCCACUACUUGUGUUUACCUUUUCAUUGAGUUUUCUCCUGUGUGAUGUACACUGCAUAUAUUAAUGAAAUUACUUGUUUUUUUCUUG